GGGGGCGAAACGGCUUCGACGGGGAUAAAAAAGCUUAAGUUGCAUAUCGAGGUUCUGUUUGCUCGUUAAACAGGCAGAAAACAAUAAACGCAGACGAUUAUGCGUAUGCUUUAGCCGCUUAAAAGGCUAACGUCCUUCCAUUUUUUUCCUGUGAGAAUGGAUUUGGGCGCCGACUAGCAGGAUAG
RNAcentral lists this transfer-messenger RNA (185 nucleotides) under Pseudomonadota bacterium. RNAcentral describes it as "Proteobacteria bacterium (cold seep metagenome) partial transfer-messenger RNA". It matches the Rfam family "transfer-messenger RNA", at positions 1 to 203 of the family's 374-position model. From Rfam's summary of the family: Bacterial tmRNA, also known as 10Sa RNA or SsrA, is named for its dual tRNA and mRNA-like properties. Its role is to liberate the mRNA from a stalled ribosome. Lineage: Bacteria; Pseudomonadati; Pseudomonadota. The record is from RNAcentral.